Gorilla gorilla gorilla (western lowland gorilla) is the source of this 324-nucleotide non-coding RNA. It matches the Rfam family "7SK RNA". From Rfam's summary of the family: 7SK was discovered as an abundant small nuclear RNA in the mid-70s but a possible function has only recently been suggested. Two independent studies have found that 7SK RNA binds the CDK9/cyclin T complex (known as elongation factor P-TEFb). NCBI's taxonomy places the organism in Eukaryota, Metazoa, Chordata, Mammalia, Primates, Hominidae. The record is from Rfam.
GGACAUGAGGGCAAUCUGGCUGAGACAUCUGUCACCCCAUUGAUUGUCAGGGUUGAUUUGUCUGAUGUGGCUGGUUAGGCCUUCUUCCAGCACCACUCCAUGUCCAUCCCUCCUGAAGCUGAGCACUGGGUCAAAGUAGAAGACCAUCCAUCAUAGAGGUGGACUGGUCUUCAGUCAAGGGUGUACGAGUAGCUGCACUACCCUAUUAGAACUCCCAAACAAACUAUCAAGAACUUAUUCCAAGUGAAGAUGCAAUGAAAAUUGUUGACAUGACAACAAAGGAUUUAUAAUACGACGUUAACUUAGUUAAUAAAGCUGUGGUAA